RNAcentral lists this transfer RNA (73 nucleotides) under Niastella populi. It matches the Rfam family "tRNA". Rfam says of the family: Transfer RNA (tRNA) molecules are approximately 80 nucleotides in length. Their secondary structure includes four short double-helical elements and three loops (D, anti-codon, and T loops). Further hydrogen bonds mediate the characteristic L-shaped molecular structure. tRNAs have two regions of fundamental functional importance: the anti-codon, which is responsible for specific mRNA codon recognition, and the 3' end, to which the tRNAs corresponding amino acid is attached (by aminoacyl-tRNA synthetases). tRNAs cope with the degeneracy of the genetic code in two manners: having more than one tRNA (with a specific anti-codon) for a particular amino acid; and 'wobble' base-pairing, i.e. permitting non-standard base-pairing at the 3rd anti-codon position. The record is from Rfam by way of RNAcentral. Lineage: Bacteria; Pseudomonadati; Bacteroidota; Chitinophagia; Chitinophagales; Chitinophagaceae.
UGUUGGGUGGUGUAAUGGUUGAGCAUCUCAGUCUUUGACCCUGAUGGUGCAGGUUCGAAUCCUGCCCCGGCAA